GCCUCGGUAGUGUAGACGAUCAGCACGGCAGACCGGAUGUCUGUGAGUGUGGGUUCGAGUCCCGCCUGAGGUC
This is a non-coding RNA of Dictyocaulus viviparus (bovine lungworm), 73 nucleotides long. The record is from Rfam. Lineage: Eukaryota; Metazoa; Nematoda; Chromadorea; Rhabditida; Metastrongylidae.